CCCGUAGGCGGCUUGAUAAGUCGGGUGUGAAAACUCCAGGCUCAACCUGGAGACGCCACCCGAUACUGUCAUGGCUUGAGUCUGGUAGGGGAGUGCGGAAUUCCUGGUGUAGCGGUGAAAUGCAUAGAUAUCAGGAGGAACACCGGUGGCGAAGGCGGCACUCUGGGCCAGUACUGACGCUGAUGGGCGAAAGCGUGGGGAGCAAACAGGAUUAGAUACCCUGGUAGUCCACGCCGUAAACGUUGGGCACUAGGUGUGGGGGGUUUCAACGCCCUCUGUGCCGUAGCUAACGCAUUAAGUGCCCCGCCUGGGGAGUACGGCCGCAAGGCUAA
This 332-nucleotide ribosomal RNA is filed under the name uncultured bacterium. Its description in RNAcentral is "bacterial SSU rRNA". It matches the Rfam family "Bacterial small subunit ribosomal RNA", at positions 568 to 897 of the family's 1533-position model. The record is from RNAcentral.